AUUAGUGCCUCUUAAUUUAUUCCAAACGUUUUCAACUUUGCCAAUAUCUUUUCUUGCUUAUUGAAAAGUGAGCAAUCUAAUUGAAAACAAAAAUUAAGAGAAGAGUGCACAAUAUAGAACAAAGAUAUUCAUGAAACAAUAGAUCCAUAUAUAUUAUUUGUUUAAGGCAGCUACAUCAUUAACUUAAAAAACCCCAGCAUCCCCUUACGGUUGAUGUAUAUAAUAGCCUGAUAAAACAUGAAAAAAAUGAAGGGAAUAAUUAGGUUCAGAGGUAACAAUAAGCAAAAUUUCAGAGGGCAAAACAGAGGGCAAAAAACCAGAUAUAGGUGAAGAUGAAAUAAGUGAUUUAUUUCUAGAUGAUGUCUAUGUCAACAUGACAAUCACCUUUGUGUCAUGAAUUUUUUUAACCUAGUAAUUAAACAGAUUUUUGUAAGCAUUUGAAAAAUUGGGAUUAUUUUAGCAAGUCUUGGAUAUUAAAUUUAUGAGAACACAAGUUUUGAUAGAGAUGUUUUUGAUAAAUGCAAACUCAAAAUUACAUAUAGCUUAAUAUCUCAAGUAUUUAUAAAGGUACUUCCAAGUAAUACAACAAUAUUUAAGUAAAAACAGGAACAAAAAAUGAGGAACUGCGUCCAUUUCAAAUAUGGAUAAUUCACCUUGAGUAAGAGGAAAGUAAUAUAACAUUUUGAACAUGCCCG
This 695-nucleotide long non-coding RNA is filed under the name Bos taurus (domestic cattle). RNAcentral's name for it is "long non-coding RNA NONBTAT009765". Lineage: Eukaryota; Metazoa; Chordata; Mammalia; Artiodactyla; Bovidae. The record is from RNAcentral.